UCCCUUGUGGCUCAGCUGGUAAAGUAUCUGCCUGCAAUGCAGGAGACCUGGGUUUGAUCCCUGGGUUGGGAA
RNAcentral lists this transfer RNA (72 nucleotides) under Odocoileus virginianus texanus. It matches the Rfam family "tRNA". Rfam says of the family: Transfer RNA (tRNA) molecules are approximately 80 nucleotides in length. Their secondary structure includes four short double-helical elements and three loops (D, anti-codon, and T loops). The record is from Rfam by way of RNAcentral. RNAcentral also lists the same sequence under 6 other names. Lineage: Eukaryota; Metazoa; Chordata; Mammalia; Artiodactyla; Cervidae.